CACAAAAAAGAUAGUGAAAUGAUUAGAGCAGAAUCCAAGCUAUAGGAAUACGGGUGAUUACUAGAAAAUUCUGUUGACUUUACUAUAAGUUUAACAAUUGGCAAAAUGUAAGAGUAUAUAAUUAAAGCAAUAGAAUCUUCAGUGAGUGUUUUAUUGUUUAUUUAUUUGAGAAAGGGUCUCAGUAUGCAGUCCUGGUUGAUCUGGAAUGGCUUAUGUAGACCAGGCUGGCCUUGAACUCUUCUUCUGACUUUGUCUCCUGAGUGCUAUGAGCAUUGUUGUGUGCCUCUGUGCUUGCCUCAUAUCUUUUAUCUUAAGGAGCCCAGGAACAUGUCCAUGAAUACAUGAAAAUUUGGUGUUUGACAGUAGCAUUACAAAGUUAUGAAGAAUUACAAACUCUUUAACAAACGGUAGUAGGAAAAAUUAGAUUUCUACCUCAACUAGCGGCCUCAUCUUUUCCAUUGGGCUGUGAGAGCCUUGAGGGCGGGACUAGGUCUAUUUCCCCCAUUAUAACCUCAGAGGCUGGUGCUUACUGGGGGGCAGCUGAUAUCCGUUGAAUGGGGAUUUUAGUCCUGGAAGAUACUCUAUGGCUCGUGGGCUCCUGGCACCUGUCAAAGACUGGAGGAAAGCCCACAGAGCUGAACUCUGACUCCACCCCUUCCUUCCCUGCUCCUCAUGACCUGAGCUAAAGCAACUGUGGAACACCCUGCACUGACUAUUGAUUGCAGAUCAGAAAACUUAAUGCCCAAAGAAGAAGAGCAAGUUAUUUCACAGAGUCAAAUUUGGCAAAGAUACACUCAACUACUUUCACAUAUUGAUUUGGAGACUUUCAUAGUCUGGGUACAUACUGCACUUGGAUUCUGGUCAGUCAUGUGCUUAUUCUCAGCACGCCAAUAAGGAAAUGAAAGAGCUGCAUUUGAAUUAUAGAUCCUGUACUUGGAAGUUGCAUUUUGACUGUUAAAUCAAUCAGAAUGUGUUUUGCUCAACAAUAUUGUAAAUGCCAGUGUUUAACAUUGUUGAUCUGAAUGAAAUGCAUCUUCUUUCUAGUAGUUCCCUAAUUCUCCAAGAAUUCAGUUUUUCCAUAUUGUGAGUUUUAGAUCAACCAGCUGCAAAUGUAUAAAUGACUUUCAGGAAUGUCAAUUACAUCAAUUUUAAUGCUGUGAAUAAAAUAUUUGAUGCCUAAUAGA
This is a long non-coding RNA of Peromyscus leucopus (white-footed mouse), 1184 nucleotides long. RefSeq lists it as uncharacterized. NCBI's taxonomy places the organism in Eukaryota, Metazoa, Chordata, Mammalia, Rodentia, Cricetidae. The record is from RefSeq and is a predicted model, not a curated record. The transcript has 2 exons.